RNAcentral lists this ribosomal RNA (449 nucleotides) under uncultured bacterium. Its description in RNAcentral is "partial 16S ribosomal RNA". It matches the Rfam family "Bacterial small subunit ribosomal RNA", at positions 29 to 523 of the family's 1533-position model. The record is from RNAcentral.
AGCGAACGCUGGCGGCAGGCUUAACACAUGCAAGUCGAGCGGGCCCUUCGGGGUCAGCGGCAGACGGGUGAGUAACGCGUGGGAACGUGCCCUUCGGUUCGGAAUAACUCAGGGAAACUUGAGCUAAUACCGGAUACGCCCUUAUGGGGAAAGGCUUGCUGCCGAAGGAUCGGCCCGCGUCUGUUUAGCUCGUUGGUGAGGUUAUGGCUCACCAAGGCGACGAUCAGUAGCUGGUCUGGGAGGAUGAUCAGCCACACUGGGACUGAGACACGGCCCAGACUCCUACGGGAGGCAGCAGUGGGGAACAUUGGACAAUGGGGGCAACCCUGAUCCAGCCAUGCCGCGUGAGUGAUGACGGCCUUAGGGUUGUAAAGCUCUUUUCUCCGGGACGAUAAUGACGGUACCGGAGGAAUAAGCCCCGGCUAACUUCGUGCCAGCAGCCGCCGUAA